UCGCAUUUAAUAACAAUGAUUAUUUGAUAUGGCUCGUGUAAUCUUUCUAUAGCCGUGCAUAAUGACCGAGACUUAACGCAAAGUAUCAUCCAACGCACAUGCAAGAGAAUACGUGUUACGCGGCAAUUGCAUAACGUCGUUUAAGUGUGCAAUAUGUCGGUAAUUUGCAUGUAAUAAACCCAUCGUAUCGUAAUACGCGACACAAUGCGUGAUCAACAGCUUAUUCCUAACCGACGGAUUCACUAACCGUUAGAGGGCGUCGGUAUCGCGAACAAUAAUCACGUAUCUCCGAAAUCUACGUUUAAAUAAUUUUUCUGCGCAGUUGUGCGGUAACAUCUGGUAAAAUGAUAACAUCUUGCAAGAUUUCGUCGCUUAAUAAAUUUCCUUGUACGUUCAAUUAUGUGUAUUCACGUAUGUAUUUAGUAGUGUCGGGAUAGCUAUAAAUUAAUCGAUAAUCACCGAAUUAUCAAUAAUACGAAUCGCGAUUGAAUGCGUGGCGUUUUUAAUUGAAAACGUGUAAUACGUAUUAAUAUUCGUAUAAUAUUAAAUAAAACUGUAAAUGAACAAUAAGUUCAACGAUUAUAUAUCACGCAAUGGAAAGAAUUAUUCUACACAUGUGCCUUCCUAUUUUAUCGGACGCCAUAACCUACAAGCUUACAAUCUUCGCAUCGUAUAAGGUACGUAUCCCCCAAUCGGUCAUUUAACGGAGGCCAUCGUACACGCGUAAGUUCGAAAUCAAGGGCCCAUUCAUUCCUAUUCCCCGUCGACGCUCAAUUAAGUCAGGUAAACAAUGAGAAGAGGGGGCCAGACCGUUUCGACCACCGAGUCGAAACCCCCCUCUCUCUCUCUCUCUCGCCUUUAUCUUCCUUUUCCCUCUUUUUUUUUCUCUUAAUUUACGACGCCACCGAAGCGGCCUCGAUAAUCAGGACCACGUCGCUGGAAUAGCAGCCCCCUCUCGCGACUUUCUCUUUUUUCCUUUUUUUUCUCUUCUUUACCUGCCGGAUUAGUAGCGAUAUCGGCCACGACCAAUGCAUGCACACUGUCGCCCUACGUUCCGCGCCAAGAUGGAAGCCGGGGUUGGAAGAAGGAGGGAAGGAUGAGACGAGAAGGGGGCGAGAAAGAGAGCAGGCCGGCGGUGAUGGGGAGGGAGCGGUUCAUGCGUUUCUUUCGUCGCGGGGUUUCGUUUGCAAUAAUUUAUGCGGGGAGACAGCUUGAGAAAUGACCGUUGGCUCCUUGUGCAACCUUAAUUUGCAACAGUUUACUUCGGCUACGUUUCGAGGGACGAGAGAGAGAGAUAUAUAUAUAUGGAUGUUAUGGGUGCCGCGCUUCGGAUCGCAUAAAGACAUUUAUCGCGGAUCGAGCAUCGAUGAGGAUCGAGGAGGGGAAAAAAAAGGAAAAAGGAAGAGGAGGAGGAAUGCUUUGGCCCCGGACUAACUGGUAUAAUUAGCGAUACAGUGUUGUCCGUGGAUGCCGUGUGGGCGAGGGGGCCGACAGAGAGAAGAGCCGGCGACUUGUGGCCCCGCUUAUCGCUAUCGUUGGAAUGCAUUGUGGCCGGGUGCUACGUAAAAUAUGGACGCGUUCCCGAGGUGAAAAAUAAUAAGAGAAGGAAAAGAAAAACGUAUAUAUAUAUAUAUAUAUUUACGUUUAUUUACGCGGUUUCCCCUAUCUGAUCUCGUUCCCCGUGAGCCAGGUUGUCUUGUUCCUUGGUAUGGUUGCAUGUCUUCGCGGAAAGUGUUAUUAGAAAUUGUUAACUGUCUAACGUUCUAAUCGCGGGAACGGAUUGGAACUGAUAAAUGGAACGUUUAUGAAGGUGUUUACAAACAGUUGGCGGUAUCUCGCGGGAGAUAUAAAGCAUAAGUAAUCCGAAUGAGGCCCAGUGUAAUGAUUGAAACGUAAGGAAGUGGUCGUGUGUUAACGAUAGCGGGGCUUGUUGUAUAAGAUCAAUCGCAAGUUAAAAACUUUCUGUUGUUAUUAUACGAUACACGAUUUUACUUAAAAAAAAUACUCGAUAUGCUUUUAACCUUUUGUGCAACCUUCGUGUUCCCCCGUAUAUUUUCCUUUCUGUUUAUCUAUGCGUGAAUCGAUCGGUUUGAAACUCGACGAAAAAUUGUCGUCGAUUGCGCAAAUCGAGCUAAACUAUAAACUAAUACUUGACUUGGACCAAUUCGAUUAUUCAAAUAUUCUUAUUCCUCGAAACUUCCCGUUGAACAUCCUCUCGCUCUUCUUCGUGUUUUCAAAAACUACGCGCCCCGAUCUAAAGUACAUUUACAUCCGAUUUCCGAAGUUGUUCUUCGAUCGAUACGAAUAGAAAACUCGGUUGGUUCUCACGAUGGGUGAAGAGUUAAGAGACGAUAAAAGAUGAUGGAUUCGGGAUUCGACGAUCGCUCUUAGAGUGCAAAGAAACGGACGCGUCGUUUCGUUCGUGUCAGCGGAUAAAUCGAGGGAACGAAAUCGGGAACGCCGACAUCUCUGAACGACCUCGGGAUCGCUGCAAUCGUCCAGGAUCACGAGAAAUCGUUCGCUGUUGCAUCGUCCGAGUUGUAGAGAGAGGAGGAGGGCUACGUAUAUACGUCAGCGUAAAGAGUCGUUGAAACAUUAAACUGACCUUUCCGGUUCAUUGGACAUAUAUAUCGGCCCGUAGCCCGUGGUAUAUACCCGUGAGACAAUUACGCUGUAACGAUCCACGACCACGAUCCAUCAGAAUUCCGUCACGCGUCGUGAGCAUAACCGUGAUUCGAUGAAAUUCCCUUUCGGCCUUCCUUCCCUCCCCUAACCCUUUUCGGCCUGCGUUAAACGCUGAUUUAAAGGGGAGAAUCGGAAACAAUCGAUGGAACGCCAGUCGAAUUUCUUGGAAACGAACUGAACCCAUACACGCGUGUGUCACGUUCGCCAUAUUUGGCCGGAGAAAUUUGUUUCGUCCACGCGAUGAAAGGAUGAAAGGAAUUUUGUUCCUUGUGUGAUAAGAGGAGUCGCUCAAUAUCUCUAGGAUAUCGUGAUCUAUCGAAGAAAAGGAAAAGAAAAUGAGUAAGGAUCGAUCUGCAAGAGUUCUUUAAAAAAGAAAGAACUCUAGUGUACAUAAAAAAAUUUACUUCUCACCUACACUUGUUACCUAAACCUCAAACCAUAACAAUUUUUCUAUCGUAAAAUAAAGCACAGCGAAAGAAAUAACCUCGAAAUAACGCUCGAGUUCAUGCAUUUUUCAAGAGCAUUCAAUUUGGAGCCCUCCCGAAUUCUCCGGGCAAACAUCGAUAUUUAACCGCAAACGAAUCCACUUUUCGUUUCGAAUCGAAGAGACGGAUGGAACGGUAGGAAAGAGAUGAAAGAACGAAGGAAAGGAUGGCCAGGCUGGGGCGUGGGGAGGACAGAGCGACGAGGCGAAAAGCGUAGUAGCGCGGGAUGAAGUCAAUUACAUUAUGCAUAUGACUGGUGGAAGGCAAUACAAGAAGCAAUCGAUCAACGAUGGAGGCAUGCCACCGCUAAAUUAACUACCUACCUAGUUGUGCGUAAUGCAAUAAUGUAUUAGCUGUAUCUACUUCAACCCCUCGUCCACGCCAUCUCCUUCUUUUCCUUCUUGUCCCUUUUACAUAUUCCAACCAUUACGAGGACUCAUUCCUCCGUAUUCCUCCUUUCCAUUCACUUCUAUCCGUAUCUUUCUAUUUUUUUCUUUAUUUUUUGAUUUCUGCUCGUCUGGCUGGAUGAGUAAUUGGGGACGUAAAUGGCGCUCGUGUGAGAAAUCAGAAUUGCUCGUGUUUCGUUUUUCUUGGAUGAAAAAAAGAUUUAUGAAAUGAAAAAGAGAGAGAGAUAACGUUUCGAAAUCGCAUAGGUGGUUUUGGAUUUCUGGCAAAAAUUUCAAGGUUGUCUCGCGGUUUGAUUAUUCAGAAUGAAUUUCAUAAUUUGACGACGUUUCGUGGAUCUCUUCUUAGAAUAUUUUUAAUCGACUUCAAGAGUAAUCGAGAUGUAUCUUUAUAUUAUACAUCGAAACGAAUUGAUAAAAAUUCAAAUUCAGAUAUUCCUAUAAUUACUCCAAAUCGAAAUAUCACUUUAAUAAUCCGAUAUAAAUCUAAUAUCUAAGUUUAAGAAACAAUUCAAUCGAAAGAAAAAACGACGGUUCGUUGUACGUAACAAAAAUAUCAAGUAUAGGCGUCGCCUAUACUUCGGAUGCAUCGUUCGACUAGAGAUGCGCGUGAAUGUACUCCAACAUGGUUUUAUGAUGUAAUACGGUCCGCUAUGGCAUCGGGUCUGGGUACGAAUAAGGCUUUAGUGCCUUCGUAAUACCAAGUAAAGCUUUCCAGUUUAUCGGCGCGCUUUACAGAAGAACAGUGAAAAUUGUCCAUCUCUGUGUGUGCACGUACCCGCCAGACGAGCGAAGAUAAAAAGAAAAGAGGAGAGAAGGAAAGGAACGAAAAGGGGAAAAAGGGAAUCGAAGGGGGAGCAUCGUCGACACGUGAGAAACAAGUGUUUCACGUUCUCGCGCGAUACAUCUUCCUCGCGGGUCUCCCGCGUUUUCUCGAUUUUCUGCCGCAAUUGGGAAUCGUAAAAUACGAUCGCGGAAGCGUGGAGCUCGAUCGGAGAAAAAGAGCUCGAAACGGAGCGGGUAUUCCGGAAAAUUGGCUCGCGGCGAACAAGGAGGAAUGGUCGAUACUACUCUCCGCUUGCUCUCUGUUUUACGAGCGUCGCGCGAGGAGAAGUAAAUUUCUCUGGGAAAGCUUUUCGCCCCGAUCGAAUCAUCCGCGAUAAAAAUGGUCCCGAAAUGGUACGGUGGAUGGACUCGGAGAGCAAGGAGAGCACAGUUUAUUCACAUGGCGUUUGGCAAGCUUCGAGGCUCGUAGCCUGCCUUCUUUUCAUAAAUUCUACGUAAUAAUAACGGGUAUUCAUCCUCGCUCCGAAUCGAAUCUUAUUCCUUGCUUCGUAAAAAUAAAUUAAAAUUAAAAUAUUCUCUUUUAGACGUAUUACAUUGGAUCAGUCAGUUGAUACUAAUUUCCAUUCUUCUAACUUACCAACGCGUAUAUAUCCUACGUAUAAAUAUAUCACCAGAUCCCUCGAUAUCGGUCGACUAAUUAGAUUCAAAAUAUCGUUUUUCUUGGGAUAAAAUCGCCCCUCCUCGCUCGCCUGCCCAGAAGCAACAUAAGAUCCGCACGAUUCCGCAUGGCAACUUUAUACCAUACUUAACCACGGGGCUUAAAGGUUCAAAAUUCGCCCGAGAAAUAAGAUCGCGGUGUUAAUGGCGGCCCCUCGGCCGACCUCAUUACAAAUCCGAUGGGCGAUGUUCAGGCGUAGCAUAAUGCGAGCGGGCGGUACGGCCCGAUAUUCCCACUUUAUAUAUACCCCGGUUACGUAGGUGUACGGCAGAGUACACGAAAGCGGGCUUAACGGAGAGUCAACCCUUUAUCUCUCGACACGAGCGUGGCGUAAGAUUGGUUCAACGAAGCGUGAAAAACGCUCGCGCGAGCGAUCUCUUAACGGCCGAUCAGCCUUAUCGCUUAACGGCGGCUUUUCAUUUCGCGAAACCCGCCUAACGGCCACCUUUUGCCUCCACCGGUCAAGAUACGCGAUCGAAUAAUCGGUGAAAUAAAUCGGCGAGGGAGAGACUGAUCGAUAGGAUCGAUAUUUAUUAUGCGGAGAAUCGCAUCCGAUUGGCUUUAACCGAUCGUUCGAGGACGGUUUUAAUUAGUUGAUUUUUCUUAUGCCUUGUGUCUUGAACUGAAGAACGAAUGUGUGGGAAAAAUUUUCGAACGAAGAAUUGGAAGAAUAUAUUACAGAUGCCGUUCAAGAUAGAAGAGGAUUAUACGUUCUUAUGUUUUAUUUUAGACUCGUUUAAUAAUCGUCCAAGGCGAUUUUCAUCGUGUUAUCGGUAUGAUUAAACUGAGAUUCGAAAUCUUUCUAUCGUUAUCUCGUGAACACUGGAGUUUAAUGGCUGGCGAAGUGUGAGAAGAAUCGAGAGAACAGGGGAUGGUAUGCAACUGAUACGGAUGGUUGAUCGCGUUAAACAAGUUUCAUUGGAUGCGCAAGAUGAUUCCAUAACAGCAGCAGAAUAAUUAAUUUCGAAGAUGGAAUUUUGCGAUUUUAUUUUAUCGUGCAACGCGUGAUAUGCAUACGUAUAAUUUCAGAAAAUGAGCGGAAUAUUAAUGUAAAAGUAACGAUAAUGUAUGAAUUUUAUCAUUUUUGACGUACGCGUGAAUAAAUUUUGUUAUUACAUAGUUACGUAUCUUUAAAGAUCUCCUCGACACUGGUCGUGGCGAAUGUCAUUAUGCCGAUCGUAUCUUUUCUAUUUGCGUCAAUUUUAUGCAAGUAUAAGAUGAAGGUAUGCAGACAUUUUAGAGACUUCAAUGCUAGAUCAUAUCAAGAAUCCAAGCAAUUUUAAGCAAUUUCUUUCUUUUUUCUUCUUGAAAAGGAUGCAAGGAUAAAUCGUGUUGCAGCGUAUAAUAUUAUAAAAGGCGAAAUUUAUUUGUUUGUUUCGGACAAAAAUUUGAAUGCGGAAAUUUGACACUACUUGAAUUUCACUUCUGUCUGACGUCGAAGAAAAAUAUAAAAAAAAUUAAUUCUUCUAAAAAUCAAAAUACCUUACAGUCUAUUUAAAAAAAGAAAAAAAAGAAAGAUCACCAAAAAUCUUACUUUUAAGAUUAGAUCUUGAAAUUUCUCUUAUUUCUACGAUAAUUCAAUAAUCGAAUAAUUUUAUCCUUGGAAAUAUAUUUAUAACGGAAUAAAAGGAUACACUCCGACUGCAAGAACCAUUAAAGAAAUCCGCUAAACGUGCUUAUCCUAACUAACGUGUUCAUCCCUUAAUAGAAUCGGUUGACGCCGAUGACCUUGGGAUAAGAGGAACCCCGUUGGCGAACGUCCUCGAUCCUCCUCCUCCUCCUCCUUCUCGUCCAUCCAGAGAACUCUAUUAAUCGAGGCGACUCUCUGGUGUCGUUUCUGAAAAUACAAACGGGUUCGUGGAUUUUUGCCCGAGAGAAAACCGGCUUCGCGGCCGACCGGUCCGACCGAGGCCUCCUCCGCGGCGACGACCGAUAACAAGUUUUUCUGUUUUUUGCGAUUUUACAGUGAGUCAAGGCAUUAGUAACGGGAACAGCGCCGGUUUAAAAGAGCGUAGCAAGCGCGCGACGCGAGCUAAAUCGAGCGGCGAUAUCGACGGACAAAUUACCGGCUCGUUUUAAUGGCACGCCGUGUGAAAACGAUGACCGUGAGAUUAAAAGGAUUAUUUUCCGGGGCAUUCCCGCCACGUUGUACGAAAUAAAACGAGACCAGGCCUUGGUGACCUUUCGUGGUCGACGCCGCAACGGUGGAUCGCGCUCGAUCGGCCGGAUAACGGGUCCCUUGGACACGGGUUGCCGUGGAACAGGGACGAUAAACUGAUUAGAAGCCGCUUGGCCACUGACUUUAAUGGAUUGUGCAAAUGAGAAGAGCGGGUAAAAGGGUGGGAAUUGUUUCGACGGCGAAGUUUGUCGGAUCGAUGAAGCGAGAUUUGUUCCGAAUGAUGGUACGAAAAAGAUGGAAAUAAUAAGAUUUUCAAAGAUUGUUUAAUUUAUGGCUAAAUCCUUUUCCCUCCCUUUCUUCUCAUUUGUCGACUAACCAAAUCCGUGUAAACUUUAAAUUUUCCGAAUUCUCUUGUAAUAAUCUCUCUUAUAAGAAGACAUCUCCGUUCUUUAAAUUACAAAUCCGAGACACCAGGCGAAAGAAUUAUAUCCUGGUUCUCCAUCGUUUCCCCCCCGUAACGAGCGAUUCGACCGAGUUCCCCGUUCCCAGUUUCCGAGGUUUCUCGUAACCGAGAGACGAGACGAAGGCUGGGACGACAAAGAGGAUGAUUAACCUGAAAGCGGAGGUCAAAAAAAGGGCAUCGAGGAUGCACCACGGCGCUGUGGGUCGCUCGCAUAAUGGCGAAUAUCGCGGCGAAGGAGCAACGGCCAUCUUUGUUGGCCGCGGCGUGCAGGUGAGCAGAGGUGAGGUGUCCGCGGGUAACACGAUCGAGGGUGGGCUUAUGGAGAUCAAAACCCCGUAUCGGAUUCCUUAUGUCUCGUAAAUGGCUGCCCUGGAGGAUGGUGUUAGUUACAGGCAUCAGCCAUCUUUGGGACGCUUUGCGUGCUUCUUUCCCAGGAGAGGAUUUGGGGCGAGAGUGGAGCCGAGCCCUUCGUGUCCUUGACCGUGCCAACGCGUUUUCCAAAACGCCAAUCCGCAUCUCCAAUCCCCUUUCCCGAGGAUCGAUAUCGGGGACGAAAUGAAUUGCGGCGAAAGAGGCGAGGCGAACGAUGAAAAACGAGAUGAUCCACGAUAAUUCGCGUUCAAAUACCGGCUGAUUUCAUCAAUCGUUGCUCAACGAUGGGAAAAACGAUCGCGCUCUCUAAUCUUGUACUUGAAUUUUCAAUCACCCUCAUUACGUGGUAUCGAUUGCAUCAUUUCGCAUCGCGCAAUUUGCCGUUAUCCUCUAUUUGAAAUACGUGACCCGCCACGGAAUUAAAAACUCCUCUUCCUUCCCUGUACGUCCAAUUCCACGCGUUCUCCUCUUUCGCGUUCUCUACUCAACUAUCCCGAUCACUCUGUACCACAUUCCUACUUAAGGGGCCUGUAUACAACCCCGAUUUUCCUUUUCUUUUUUCUCUCUCUCUUGAUUGUUCGAGACGAGGAACAUUCGACCGAUAAUUAAUACGCGCCUUCCUUUCUCCUCUUCCAUCCAUCCUCUUCAACACGCCUCUUCCUUCCUUCCUUCCUUCCCUUCCAGUAGAUCCCUCGAGAUCCCUCGAGUUGGCACGAGAAAGUUGUACCAGCCGCCCCAUUACGUGCAAAGAUCUCGAACGUUUAACGAAUUAUAUAGAUCGUAGGGCAGUUACAUCGGUGGAUAACGCCCACAUUGGUGAUCCAGAAAGACCGGUGUCGCGCGGAUGACGUAACCUCGCCCUCGAGAAGAGCGUAUUUUACCACGGAACCGGUGUAACGUCGAUUCAAUUUGCCACGCGCGCACCCUCCGAGGAUGGAAUUGUAAAGGAGAGACUUGGACUCGUAGUCGAUAAUUAACACAUGCAACACGUGCCUCUCUCUCUAUCUCUAUCUCGUGUCUCUCGCUUUUAAUUGUCGUUCUUUAUGGACCGGAUAUAAGGAGACUGGAUGGAUGAUCGAGAACGUCCGCGGAUGAAUCACGCGAUGUACGAUGAUGUAGUUAUAUAAGCCAUUGUUAUUCGAUGGGAGAUCAGAAGUAGUCGCGGUUUUUGAAGAGGAUCUCGUCGUCGCGAGACCCAAUCGUUCGUUUUUCAUAUAGAAAAUACCGAUCGAUAAUAUUAUAAUAUUAAUAUAAUGGAUCGUUUGUACGGAUUUUUCUCGAGACUUUGAGAAAGGAUCAAUCCCCAAAAUCCCUGUACACUUUCAACUGCGCGUUUAUUAAAAUACUUGGGCGUUCGAUUGAGAAACGAUUAUUAUGCGGAAUAAACGAAUUCUCGGCCACUAUUAUUGCCACCAAUUAACACGAAACUCCUCUCUGUUGAAUCGUGCCUAUGUACCGGAUCGACGCGCUAUUCCUAAAGCUCGUACUCUUUUCACGGGAACCGUCGAGGCCCUCGCCAGGAUAACAGCUUUUACCCGUCCGACUGUGAGGGCAAGAAUACCGCUCUAAUGAAUUAUGGGACGUACAGUAGUUAUAUCGGCGUGUACCGGCUAUAUAACAACCGACGAGGACGUGGCCGAUACCGCGGGAGAGUGGGCGCCCUCUAUCCCACUCCCCUUCACCUUGUCUCCCUUCUUCGUCUUGCGUUCGAACGAGCGGGCGAGCGCACACGCUCCGUGUUACGAGCGAGAACCGAGAUUGAUUUCGCAAUCGAAAUCUAAGAAUAGCGUUGUAAAAUGUACUCCGGGCGAAGCGUGCACUCUCGGUACCGACAGAGAGGCCGUGUUACAGGAGGAUGUGUGGGUGUUGGAUGGAAGAGGGAGGGAGGUGCGCGCAACUCACUACCGGUUUUGGAACAUAAAUCAAGGAUAGCGGAGUACAAUCGGCGUCCAAUCUCGCGAGAAGGAGAGAGAGAGAGAGCAAAGAGAGGAUCCGAGAUUGGGACCGCAAACGAGUUUAUUAGCCCGGCGAAAAAGCGGAGGAAUAUUGUAACGAACCGCGGCCAUAAUAGAGGCCAUCCUCGGAUGAAAUCCGAUCCACGAAAUCGCGUUUGGUCUUAAUUGAACGGCAUCACGGUCUUAAAACGUGGCUCUGCGACGAGUGGAUAUAUACACGAGCUCUGCCUCUCACCUAUCACGAUCGGCAAUUAACGAUAAUACGAUUGUUCCGUUUGUAAUGGCGAGCAAUUUGUAAUUCGAGCGGGUUACGUGUGUAUUUGAAUAAUACGUGAUACGUAUCGAGAUGGAGAAACUUAUUCGGGAUUAUUGAUGGUUUUUCCCAAGGGAACUUACGCCGAUGCUUUGAGAGGAAGAACGUUCUAAAAAGUGACGAGUUUCUUUGUGUUUUUUUUUUCCUUCUCAAACUGUAAGAGCAAUAAUUAGAAGAUGGGAAUUAGGAGAUAGAUAGAUAUCUUGAAUAUAAAAUCGAAUAAGAUCUGAUGAAUAAUCAGUCGAGGAGGAAAAAAAAGAAAAAGAAAAUAUUCCAAGAAAUAAUUUGGUAAAUGAUAAUUUUACAUCUGCUAUUUAUCAUGUACCAUCAAUGAUCAGCGUGUUAUGGAACAUGUUAACGAUGGACUGUCGGACCAUUGAUGACGAAGAGCUCGUUAAAAACGAAAGUACAACGUGUUCGGUCGAGAGGCUCGAAUCUCUUCCGAGAAGCAUCGAGCGCGUACUCGCGUCGAAACAAAGCUUAAUGAAGACGCAUUUCCGUGAAACGCGAAGUAGCAGCCGCAAGGAAGAUUAUACGCGAAGUAUACAUUCUCCUCCCCUUCCACUCUCUCUCACGAUGAAACUUGAACUACUUUAUGAAUAGGAUUAAUAAAAUCUUGUCCGGAGUGUUGUCGAGUAGACGUCAGAAAAUUCUUUUGGCGGCCAUUCGUUAGCUCUCUCUCUCUCUCUCUCUCUCCUUUAGCAAGCUUCACCCAUGAAAUCAAAGCUUUAACCCUUAUCCGCAAGAUAUUGGGUCAUAAUAAGGUGAAAUCGCUACUCCCACGACAUCGACGUUUAUGGAGAGUUUGGAUAUCUUUAAAGUUUCGAGAUAUAUAUAUAGAACAGUAAAGGAGGGUACCGUUCGAAUAGGAAUAAUAAGGUGAAUAAAAAAAGAAAUAUUUACGCAUCCGAAGUGGAAAGAUCUUUAUCCAAGAGCCAUACACCUAUGCCACCGAUAAUUUACAUCGCAGCAAGUAAUUUCAUCGUGACAAAAGGGAGCAAAAGUUUACGAGACCGUGACCCCACGAGACUCGUCCCCUGUCACCGCAUCAACCUGUUCCAAGCGAGCGAGGGAAUAAAGAAAGAAAUAAAGAAGUAGAUUAAAAACAAAAAAAAA
Apis cerana (Asiatic honeybee) is the source of this 11416-nucleotide long non-coding RNA. RefSeq lists it as uncharacterized. The record is from RefSeq and is a predicted model, not a curated record. NCBI's taxonomy places the organism in Eukaryota, Metazoa, Arthropoda, Insecta, Hymenoptera, Apidae.